UACGAAGGGGGCUAGCGUUGCUCGGAAUCACUGGGCGUAAAGGGUGCGUAGGCGGGUCUUUUAAGUCAGGGGUGAAAUCCUGGAGCUCAACUCCAGAACUGCCUUUGAUACUGAGGAUCUUGAGUUCGGGAGAGGUGAGUGGAACUGCGAGUGUAGAGGUGAAAUUCGUAGAUAUUCGCAAGAACACCAGUGGCGAAGGCGGCUCACUGGCCCGGUAUACGUGACGCUGAGGUGCGAAAGCGUGGGGAGCAAACAGGG
Molecule: ribosomal RNA, 258 nt
Filed under: uncultured bacterium
Lineage: Bacteria
Description: partial 16S ribosomal RNA
Rfam family: Bacterial small subunit ribosomal RNA
Source: RNAcentral